CCUCCAUCAAAUACUAGAGGUGUUUGGACCAAUUUUGGGUCCAUAUAACUCUACAAGGCACCUUACAAUUCGUCGUGAUGAUCAUCCCUUAUCAGAGGAGUUUUUGUUUGGAUUUCAAUAAGGUGUCUAGCAGCUAGUGUAGCGUGAAGGGCAGCACCAAAUGGAAAUGCAUCUUCAUUGAUUUCAAAAUAAGGUGAGUGUGGUGAAGGAAAUUUUCCCUUUGUUUCAUUUUUCAUACCGAGGAAAUAAAAGUAGCCUGGUAUGGCCUCUUGGUAGAAUGAAAAAUCUUCAGAUCCCAUCAAUGGUUGCAUGUGUUC
Molecule: long non-coding RNA, 317 nt
Filed under: Daucus carota (carrot)
Lineage: Eukaryota; Viridiplantae; Streptophyta; Magnoliopsida; Apiales; Apiaceae
Description: long non-coding RNA (DCAR_LNC005342)
Source: RNAcentral